Molecule: ribosomal RNA, 483 nt
Filed under: uncultured Oscillospiraceae bacterium
Lineage: Bacteria; Bacillati; Bacillota; Clostridia; Eubacteriales; Oscillospiraceae
Description: bacterial SSU rRNA
Rfam family: Bacterial small subunit ribosomal RNA
Source: RNAcentral
GAAUUGACGGGGGCCCGCACAAGCAGUGGAGUAUGUGGUUUAAUUCGACGCAACGCGAAGAACCUUACCAGGGCUUGACAUCGUGCGCAUAGUGCAGAGAUGCAUGAAGUCUUCGGACGCACAGACAGGUGGUGCAUGGUUGUCGUCAGCUCGUGUCGUGAGAUGUUGGGUUAAGUCCCGCAACGAGCGCAACCCUUAUCGUUAGUUGCCAGCACGUAAUGGUGGGCACUCUAGCGAGACUGCCGGCGACAAGUCGGAGGAAGGUGGGGAUGACGUCAAAUCAUCAUGCCCCUUAUGUCCUGGGCUACACACGUACUACAAUGGCUGCCAACAAAGGGAAGCGAGACCGCGAGGUGGAGCAAAUCCCCAAAAGCAGUCCCAGUUCGGAUUGCAGGCUGAAACCCGCCUGCAUGAAGUCGGAAUUGCUAGUAAUCGCAGAUCAGCAUGCUGCGGUGAAUACGUUCCCGGGCCUUGUACACACCG